CGACUACAUUAGAUACCCGCGUAGUCCCAGCCCUAAACGAUGCGCGUUAGGUGUAUCGGUGACCACGAGUCACCGAGGUGCCCGAAGGGAAACCGUGAAACGUGCCGCCUGGGAAGUACGGUCGCAAGGCUGAAACUUAAGGAAUUGGCAGGGAGCACCACAAGAGGUGGAGGCUGCGGUUCAAUUGGACUCAACGCCGGAAAACUCAUCGGGAGCGACAGCAGUAUGAUUGCCAGGUUGAUAACCUUGCUUGAAAAGCUG
RNAcentral lists this ribosomal RNA (261 nucleotides) under uncultured archaeon. RNAcentral describes it as "partial 16S ribosomal RNA". It matches the Rfam family "Archaeal small subunit ribosomal RNA", at positions 717 to 982 of the family's 1478-position model. The record is from RNAcentral.